UUUCUUCCUAGUCUUGAUGGUCUUUACAAUUUGGCAUGAUUUUGCAGUGGCUGGAACCGCUUGUUCCUUUCCAUGUUUAGUGCUUCCUUCAGGAGCUCUUGUAGGGCAGGCCUGGUGGUGACAGAAUCUCUCAGCAUUUGCUAGUCUGUAAAGUAUUUUAUUUCUCCUUCACUUAUGAAGCUUAGUUUGGCUGGAUAUGAAAUUCUGGGUUGAAAAUUCUUUUCUUUAAGAAUGUUGAAUAUUGGCCCCCACUGUCUUCUGGCUUGUAGAGUUUCUGCCGAGAGAUCAGCUGUUAGUCUGAUGGGCUUCCCUUUGUGGGUAACCCUGCCUUUCUUUCUGGCUGCCCUUAACAUUUUUUCCUUCAUUUCAACUUUGGUAAAUCUGACAAUUAUGUGUUGCUCUUCUCGAGGAGUAUCUUUUUGGUGUUCUCUGUAUUUCCUGUAUUUGAAUGUUGGCCUGCCGUGCUAGGUUGGGGAAGUUCUCCUGGAUAAUAUCCUGCAGAGUGUUUUCCAACUUGGUUCCAUUCUCCCCAUCACUUUCAGGUACACCAAUCAGACGUAGAUUUGGUGUUUUCACAUAGUCCCAUAUUUCUUGGAGGCUUUGUUCAUUUCUUUUUAUUCUUUUUUCUCUAAACUUCCCUUCUCGCUUCAUUUCAUUCUUUUGAUUUUCCAUCACUGAUACGCUUUCUUCCAGUUGAUCAGAUCGACUACGAGGCUUGUGCAUUCGUCACAUAGUUUUUGUGCCUUGGUUUUCAGCUCCAUCAGGUCCUUUAAGGAGUUCUCUGCAUUGGUUAUUCUAGUUAGCCAUUCGUCUAAUUUUUUUUCAAGGUUUUUAAUUUCUUUGCCAUGGGUUUCAACUUCCUCCUUUAGCUCAGAGUAGUUUGAUCAUCUGAAGCCUUCUUCUCUCAACUCAUCAAAGCCAUUCUCCGUCCAGCUUUGUUCCAUUGCUGGUGAGGAGCUGCGUUCCUUUGGAGGAGGAGAGGCACUCUGAUUUUUAGAGUUUCCAGUUUUUCUACUCUGUUUUUUCCUCAUCUUUGUGGUUUUAUCUACCUUUGGUCUUUGAUGAUGACAACAUACAGAUGGGGAUUUGGUGUGGAUGUCCUUUCUGUUUGUUAGUGUUCCUCUUAACCAUCAGGACCCUCAGCUGCAGGUCUGUUGGAGUUUGCCGGAGGUCUGCUCCAGACCCUGUUUGCCUGGGUAUCAGCAGCGGAGGCUGCAGAACAUCGGAUACUGGUGACCAGCAAAUGUUGCUGCCUGAUUGUUCCUCUGGAAGUUUUGUCUCAGAGGAGUACCCAGCCGUGUGAGGUGUCAGUCUGCCCCUACCUCCCAGUUAGGCUACUCAGGGGUCAGGGACCCACUUGAGGCAGUCUGUCUGUUCUCAGAUCUCCAGCUGCAUGCUGGGAGAACCACUAUUCUCUUCAAAGCUGUCAGACAGGGACAUUUUAGUGUGCAGAGGUUACUGCUGCCUUUUGUUUGGCUAUUCCCUGCCCCCAGAGGUGGAGUCUACAGAGGUAGGCAGGCCUUCUUGAGCUGCAGUGGGCUCCACCAAGUUCGAGCUUCCCAGCAGCUUUGUUUACCUACUCAAGCCUCGGCAAUGGCGGGCGCCCCUCCCCCAGUCUCGCUGCUGCCUUGCCGUUUGAUCUCAGACUGCUGUUCUGGGAAUAAGCGAGGCUCCGUGGGCGUAGGACCCUCUGAGCCAGGCACGGGAUAUAAUCUCCUGGUGUGCCAUUUGCUAAGACCAUUGGAAAAGUGCAGUAUUAGGGUGGGAGUGACCCAAUUUUCCAGGUGCUGUCUGUCACCCCUUUCUUUGACUAGGAAAGGGAAUUCCCUGACCCUUGCACUUCCUGAGUGAGGCGAUGCCUCGCCCUGCUUCGGCUCACGCUGGGUGCGCUGCACCCACUGUCCUGCACCCACUUUCCGACACUCCCCAGUGAGAUGAGCCUGGUACCUCAGUUGGAAAUGCAGAAAUCACUCAUCUUCUGGGUCGCUCAUGCUGGGAGCUCUAGACUGGAGCUGUUCCUAUUUGGCCAUCUUGGCUCCACCCUCCAAGAUCUGUAUAUUGAGACAGGGAAAUUGCAACAGAGAAAGAAUAAUUCACACAGACCCGGCUGUGUGGGAGACCAGAGUUUUAUUAUUACUCAGAUCAGUCUCCCCAAGCAUUUGGGUGUC
Molecule: long non-coding RNA, 2168 nt
Filed under: Homo sapiens (human)
Lineage: Eukaryota; Metazoa; Chordata; Mammalia; Primates; Hominidae
Description: non-protein coding lnc-POLR2B-14:1
Source: RNAcentral